UCAAAUAUGCGCAUUUCGGUAAAUAAUACAGAACAUGUGUAUUUCAGUAAUUUUUUAUUUUUUUUUACAAUAUUUAUAAAAAAAAAAGCCAAUAAAUGUAUAGUGUCUUGUUUUCCAUUAAAUCAAGGUGUUAACUUACGAAUCAGAGAGAGAGCCGUCGGACAGAAGCGUGAAGUUUCUGCCGAACUCUGCGUCGCUGGCCGAGGCCCGGUGUCGCGUGAUUGAUUUCUUUAAGAACGCACGCCGAUCGAUCCCUACCAUAAUGGAGAUCGAUGUCAUCACGGUCCCCCAGCUUCGCUAAACCAUCUCCUCCAGGAUCCGCAAAAACGCCCACCUCUCUAACCCCAACCCCAAGUUUUAGGCUGAAUUUGAACAAUUAAGCUUGAUUGGAGGAAAUUACAAAACAAACAGAAACUGCUUCCCCUUCAACCUCUUGAAGAUAUCUUCUUGCAGCUUGUUCAUGUUUGUGGUGGUGGUGUGGUUAUUGUUGUUGUGGUUGUAGUCAGCUGGAUGUAUUCCUUGACUCUUCUGUCAUUGUAGACGAGCUGUGUGAGUGUGGUACCCAUGCCAACAACAGGGUGGAUUACAAAUUUACGAGGAUUGCUGAAUUCUAAUGCUUAUAUUCUCUUUAUCUUGCUCUCUUCCAAAAACAUGAGAACCAGCAACCAGUGAGCUGGUUUGAGGCCUCUCUUCAAUUUCAUUUUUAAUUUCAAGUUCAACCCGGUUGUGCCUGCUUCUGCCCAACACUUGAAGACCAAGAACACCUUGUUCUUUAAGAGAUACUUUCUAACCUCUUAUCGAUGAUGCCUUUGAUCUUUCGUGGAAGCAAGCAAACCUUUGUUGACGCAAUAAUAUCAAAUGAGAAGAUGCCUUGUUACCUUUGGACGUGGAGCUGCCGCUGUGUACCCGUCUAGCAGGCCAUCGUUGUCAUAGGCCACAUCUUUGAGCUUCAUGAGCCAACGCGGCACCGGCUUAAGGGGUUGUUUGGAUUGGUUUUUAAAAAAAGUGUUUUUUUUUAAUUUUGCAGAAGCACUUUUGGAAAAAGUACUUUAAGAAUAAGUUAAGUGCUUAUGCAUAUUUUUUCGUUUAGAUGUAUUAGUUUCAGAAACACUUCUGUAGUUGUGAAAA
Molecule: long non-coding RNA, 1128 nt
Organism: Dioscorea cayenensis subsp. rotundata (Guinea yam)
Lineage: Eukaryota; Viridiplantae; Streptophyta; Magnoliopsida; Dioscoreales; Dioscoreaceae
Exons: 2
Source: RefSeq, a predicted model, not a curated record